CCAGGAGAGUCUAUGCAUACAUGGGUCUGGUGUAUCUGGGAAAUCUCUGUAUAUUCCCCUAAAUGUUUUUGCAAACAUUAAGCUGCUCUAAAAGAAGGCCUACCCCUGCCACUGCUGGUUUCCAAGUUGACAUUUGAGUCUCAAGGGUAAUCAAGAACAUGGAAUUCAUUGUGAAAAUCUCUUCUGCUCGGUUGGAACAACUGUGUUUAUAAGGCACAUGGUGAGAUGCUGGAACUGGUGUAGUCAUCUUACAACAAUGAGAGGAAAUAUCGGAAGGAAGAGUCAACACAAAGAGGGCAGAGCCACAAGAACUCCCAAGAAGCAGAGUCAGAGUCCUAAUUAUAUUCUAUCUGGAGUUGCUUUGUCUUUGGAAUUCAUGCUAUGUGAAAUAAUUCCUUUUGUUUAAAGCA
Molecule: long non-coding RNA, 410 nt
Organism: Neofelis nebulosa (Clouded leopard)
Lineage: Eukaryota; Metazoa; Chordata; Mammalia; Carnivora; Felidae
Exons: 3
Source: RefSeq, a predicted model, not a curated record